Molecule: long non-coding RNA, 469 nt
Filed under: Homo sapiens (human)
Lineage: Eukaryota; Metazoa; Chordata; Mammalia; Primates; Hominidae
Description: HSALNT0056142
Source: RNAcentral
CUCUUUCCAAGCUUCCACCAACUCAAGACUAUGGUGUGUAACAGACUUGGCUGAACGAUCCUAACAACAUCAAAUGCUUCUAGCCCAACAGAGCCAACACCUAAAACUUGUGAUCCAUGAACCAGCAACAUCAGCACCAAUUGGGAGUUUGUUACUAGAUGCAGAAUCUCAGGCCAGCCCAGACCUACUGAGUAAGGAUCUGCAUUUUAACAGAUCCCCAGGCUGCUGGCCCUGCUACAUUCCUGCAUUGGCCUUAGCUGAUCACCACUUUCUUCGAGGUCUGCACCUUGGCCGAGAGAGGAGCAGCGAAUUCCCUGUCCUCCCUCACCCUGCGUCCUGAGCCAUCUCCCAACUCCUCAAAGCCCCUGGAGACCAUGCUUCAACCAGACGCAGGCCAUUCUCCCCCAUUUCCAUUCUGAAACCACUCACUCCAGGCCUUUCUUCACCUUGGAGUCUUGGCCCAAUAAAA